UUGAAUUCUUUCUUAAUUUAUGAAAUAUGUCUUGUACUAUCCAUUGUACAUAUGAACUAUGCAUUAUGUAAAUGUGCAAGUGUGAAGUGAGUGAAAAUGUAGUCUUUACAGCCUUUGUGUUAUUUUUUCCUUCCUUCAGCUCUUUAUUCUCAUUCUCUCCUUCUAAAACUUAACAGUGGCAAUGAAAUGAUUUGGUGAGACGGUGGUGGCUUAUGGAUAAUAGUAGUUAGGGCUCUAUAUUGCAAGAGAGACCAACAGGCAAGCGAUAUUGGCGAGGGGCUUAAGAACAAGAGGAAAAUGUGAUUGCAACGGCAAAAGUUGUGAAAACAGCAAACCAAAAACACAGGAAAGGACAAAAAUAAAAAAUUCAAUGAUGAGAAAAACUCUACAAAUAAGCCAAAUAAAUUCCAAACGUAUUCUCUGGCUGAUUUUCAUAGUCAUUUAUGUCAAAACCUCUUUAUACCAAAUUGAUGCAUAACCACAAAGAACACGCAAAAGGGUAAAAAGUAAUAAACUCUCAAUUCUAUUAAUCAUCGAUUGUCAAUAAAUAUCAACAAUAAUAAGUUCUACCAAAAUACCUAAAUGACGUAGGUAUUUAUGUCAUAAUUGUUAGUCUUAUUAGUGCUAGGAUUAGUAAUCCUUAAACAAGUAUCUACCAAAAUACUUAGAUGACAUAAGUAUUUAUAGUAUAA
RNAcentral lists this unclassified non-coding RNA (692 nucleotides) under Hevea brasiliensis (rubber tree). The record is from RNAcentral. Lineage: Eukaryota; Viridiplantae; Streptophyta; Magnoliopsida; Malpighiales; Euphorbiaceae.